GAGGGCCAGGAUAUGCUCAUUAAGUAAAGACAGAAAAGCAGCUCUAAGAAGGCACUUACCCAGAAAUAGGUAACUCCUGUAACUUAUCAAGGCAAUCUAGGUGGGGAAUAACGCAGAUCGGGCCCAUAUAAGUAAUUGUAACCACGACAUGGGGAGGAUAUGUAAGAAGGGAGAAAAAAGCAGGGAGGAGGGAAUUGCAGAAGAGAACUGAGGGGAAUAGGGAAAGAGAAUUGUAUGGAAGUGAAAGAGAAUAGAGAGACAAUAGCAAUAAAUGCUUGCUGUGUUUAACAACAUCUGGUGUCCUGGGUGCUCUGUGGGGAAAGAACACAGCUAAAGAGAGUCCGGAAGACCUGGUAUGAUGAAAAUGGACGUGAGCAGUGGGAGCCGACCAGAAGAAUCUGAGUCAUCAGAGAAGAUAAACGAGAUCGAACAGAACAAGAAGAAGAGGCAGAAGAAGCCGCAAAGAAGAAGUUCCCAAGACCAGAAGCAGAGAUGGAAAGGAGAACUGCAGUCUCUGCUGAGACUGUUAUCUCUCAUGAGUCUCAACACAGGGGUGAUAGCACAAAGAAAGUGGAGUAACUCUGUGGCACCAGCACAAUGCCUGGCCAAUUAAUAGAGACAAUGGACCUGGGAGAUGACAGCGAGACCACCGGUGGUGCAGGGUUGGGGACAAAAGACUCUUGAAAUUGCAAUAGAAUGGUUGGGGGAUGAGUUAGUAUUACAAAGCUUGUUGCCUCAAUACCAUGCCAUUUUGCUUAUCGUCCUAUAUGUGUCACACCUUUGUAUGGCCCUUAAUAACACUUGGGUGAAUGUAUGGGAUCACCUCCGUGGAGCUUUGUUAGCCACCAAUGAGUUUAAUCAAAUUGAGGAAUUAUUGCCUGAUGAUGUGAUGCAUUCUCAUCUGUCUGUGUUGUCUUCUUGGCUUUACAGCACUUUGUUUACUAUAAUAAUCUUUUUUGUAGUGCUUAUGUGGUUGCCAUGUCUAUUGUUAUGCAUCAAUGUGUUGAUAAGAAGGGCUCUUAUGAAUGCCUUUGCACAAUGGCAUCCCUGUCCUCAGGUCACUGUCCAUGCCAUAGAAUUGAUUGAGUAAGAUACUGUCUCCCAAAGAAGUUGGGAAUCACAGACAGCGGACACGGGGUUUGAGUUAAGGAUGUUUGGGAGUCCUGGUCAUGACCGUGCUCCAUACAAGACUGAGCCUUCCCUAUGCUUGUGUACUGUGAAUGGGGUUUCCCUUUCCUGUGACAUGAGUGGUUCCCGCAAAACAAGAAAGGGGAUUUGUUAGAUACAUGGCAUGGAGGGACCAGAGGGCCAGGAUAUGCUCAUGAAAUAAAGACAGAAAAGCAGCUCUAAGAAGGCGCUUACCCAGAAAUAGGUAACUCCUGUAACUUAUCAAGGCAAUCUAGGUGGGGAAUAAUGCAGAUGGGGCCCAUAUAAGUAAUUGUAACCAUGCCAUGGGGAGGAUAUAUAAGAAGGGAGAGGAAAGCAAGGAGGAGGGAAUUGCAGAAGAGAACUGAAGGGAAUAGGGAAAGAGAAUUGUAUGGAGGUGAAAGAGAAUAGAGAGACAAUGGCAAUAAAUGCUUGCUGUGUUUAACAACAUCUGGUGUCCUGGGUGCUCUGUGGGGAAAGAACACAGCUAAAGAGAGUUGUGCUGGAGCCAUCCGAAGACCUGGUAUGGUAAGAGUUCAGUUGAGACCCUCUUGGUGAAUAGCGAGACCCUUACAAGGGGAUAUUCUGUGACAAGGUAAAUUGCCCACUCUCUCCUAAGUAUGUAGUAGUAUUCACAAUCUGCUAAUGUAUAUAAUCCCAUAAACACCAAGAUUGCUCAACAAAAUUUUAUCUUCUUUUGGAAGUGCACACAUACAAAAUGAAUAAAGGCAUUACAUCCUG
Molecule: long non-coding RNA, 1887 nt
Organism: Antechinus flavipes (yellow-footed antechinus)
Lineage: Eukaryota; Metazoa; Chordata; Mammalia; Dasyuromorphia; Dasyuridae
Exons: 2
Source: RefSeq, a predicted model, not a curated record